Molecule: ribosomal RNA, 233 nt
Filed under: uncultured bacterium
Lineage: Bacteria
Description: partial 16S ribosomal RNA
Rfam family: Bacterial small subunit ribosomal RNA
Source: RNAcentral
CAAUCUGCCUUGGAGUGGGGAAUAACGGCUGGAAACAGCCGCUAAUACCGCAUGAUACAGUUGGGAGGCAUCUCUCUGACUGUCAAAGAUUUAUCGCUCUGAGAUGAGCUCGCGUCUGAUUAGCUGGUUGGCGGGGUAACGGCCCACCAAGGCGACGAUCAGUAGCCGGACUGAGAGGUUGGCCGGCCACAUUGGGACUGAGACACGGCCCAGACUCCUACGGGAGGCAGCAG